AACACCCGUAGUGUGCCCUAUGUCCUAGGGAAAGGUCAGAUUUAAGACAGGAUCUUCUCAGCAGUGCUCUGUGUUCUGUGGAAGCCCUAGCCUGGGGUGCAUCAGCACUGCUCAUCAGCUUGGGAUAUUCUGUGGUUCUGUGAAGAAGAUAUUUGGAUGUUUUCAAACCAGACUUUGCUCCAGGAGGUGCUCUGAGAAGGGCUCAGAGCCUGUCCCAAGAAAGGAUUCCUAGUGGGAUAUUUCCUGUUCACAUUGCUGUCUUUCUCAUGAGAAUCCACUCUUAAACACCAUGCCUCCCUGUAGGCUCUGACAGAUGGUGGCAUCCUACUGGACUCUGACUGAGGAAAGCAAGAAAGAGCUAACUCCAUGAGACAGUACUGGUGGUGCAGAGUGUGAGGAGUAACCCACAGC
Long non-coding RNA from Lagopus muta (rock ptarmigan), 411 nucleotides. RefSeq lists it as uncharacterized. Lineage: Eukaryota; Metazoa; Chordata; Aves; Galliformes; Phasianidae. The record is from RefSeq and is a predicted model, not a curated record. The transcript has 3 exons.